AGGAGGUGUAACCUGCGUCGCAGCUGCCAGCAUCGCCUGGCUUGAAAAGGUCAGCUCCCCAGGCACAGGUGGCAAUGUCAUCAGCUGAGUGCACGGGGGGCCUCUGGAGUGCAUGGGCAGCAGGAGGUUGGCAUUUUUGUGGAUGAAUACCACUGGGAGUUGAGGACUUGCUGUGACUCUCACUCUUACUUAUAGGAGUUUUGCCUGCAGCAGUCACAUAGUUGAAAAAUAUGGAUCCAUGUGACUGCUAAGAGACCACUGAGAAGCCAAUGUCCAAGUGUUUUCAAAACUGGACAAAUUCAUGGAGGAAGAAACCAUGGGAUGCUACUGAGAAAAAGGCACUGCUGCUGAUUUAGGAUAUUCUUGCACUGGUUGCUGGAG
Molecule: long non-coding RNA, 381 nt
Filed under: Phasianus colchicus (ring-necked pheasant)
Lineage: Eukaryota; Metazoa; Chordata; Aves; Galliformes; Phasianidae
Description: lncRNA (ENSPCLG00000006006.1)
Source: RNAcentral